UCUACUUUAAAAAGGUGGUUUAGUCUACUUUGAAAAGGAUAGUACACUUGUAAGUGUGCGACAAAAUCUCAGAGACUUGACAUUCGAAGUUUUCAAGCGAAAAUCAAAAUGUUCCAUGAAAUGGGGCGCAGAAGACUAUGAGGAAAGAAUUAUUAUUACCAGAGAUGGUUCAACUGAUGGAACAUUAUCCAACCACAAUAAAAAGAUUUGGAUUGCGCAAGUUUUGCAGUGCUGCCUUUUACCUGAUGGUGAAACUUAGUUCCGGCCAUAAAUCCGAGGGAGACACAAGAACGGUCAAGAUGUCAGGUUCUGGCGGGGAACAAGCAUGACAUAAAGCCUGUGCUGAAUGCCGUCAUCAUUUCUGCCUGCAAAGGUUAUGUCUGGAUGUGGUGCAAAGACCACAGCAAAACAGUGCCAGAUGACACCUCCUUCAACAAGGCAGUGACACUCCAAAUAGACUACUCCAGGAAAUAAAUGAAAUCAUCUUGUUUAAAUUGAGACUAAAAAAAUAGGGGGUGUUAG
This is a long non-coding RNA of Dreissena polymorpha, 522 nucleotides long. RefSeq lists it as uncharacterized. Lineage: Eukaryota; Metazoa; Mollusca; Bivalvia; Myida; Dreissenidae. The transcript is spliced from 4 exons. The record is from RefSeq and is a predicted model, not a curated record.